This 406-nucleotide ribosomal RNA is filed under the name uncultured bacterium. Its description in RNAcentral is "partial 16S ribosomal RNA". It matches the Rfam family "Bacterial small subunit ribosomal RNA", at positions 30 to 526 of the family's 1533-position model. The record is from RNAcentral.
AUUGAACGCUGGCGGCAGGCCUAACACAUGCAAGUCGAACGAGUGGCGGACGGGUGAGUAAUGUCUGGGAAACUGCCCGAUGGAGGGGGCUAACUACUGGAAACGGUAGCUAAUACCGCAUACCAUCGGAUGUGCCCAGAUGGGAUUAGCUAGUCGGUGGGGGAACGGCUCACCUCGGCGACGAUCCCUAGCUGGUCUGAGAGGAUAACCAGCCACACUGGAACUGAGCAACGGGCCAGACUCCUACGGGAGGCAUCAUUGGGGAAUAGUGCACAAUGGGCGCAAGCCUGAUGAAGCCAUGCCGCGUGUAUGAAGAAGGCCUGCGGUUUGGAAAGUACUUUCAGCGAGGAGGCGUUACUCGCAGAAGAAGCAUCGGCUAACUCCGUGCCAGCAGCCGCGGUAAUAC